UGCAGUCGAACGGUGACGAUGGAGCUUGCUCUGUCUGAUCAGUGGCGAACGGGUGAGUAACACGUGAGUAACCUGCCCCCGACUCUGGAAUAACCGUGGGAAACGACGGCUAAUACCGGAUAUGAGACGCACAGGCAUCUGUGUGUCUGGAAAGAUUUAUCGGUCAGGGAUGGACUCGCGGCCUAUCAGCUUGUUGGUGGGGUAAUGGCCUACCAAGGCGACGACGGGUAGCCGGCCUGAGAGGGCGACCGGCCACACUGGGACUGAGAUACGGCCCAGACUCCUACGGGAGGCAGCAGUGGGGAAUAUUGCACAAUGGGCGCAAGCCUGAUGCAGCGACGCCGCGUGAGGGAUGAAGGCCUUCGGGUUGUAAACCUCUUUCAGCAGGGAAGAAGCGAAAGUGACGGUACCUGCAGAAGAAGCGCCGGCUAACUACGUGCCAGCAGCCGCGGUAAUACGUAGGGCGCAAGCGUUGUCCGGAAUUAUUGGGCGUAAAGAGCUCGUAGGCGGUUUGUCGCGUCUGCUGUGAAAACCUGAGGCUCAACCUCGGGCUUGCAGUGGGUACGGGCAGACUAGAGUGCGGUAGGGGUGACUGGAAUUCCUGGUGUAGCGGUGGAAUGCGCAGAUAUCAGGAGGAACACCGAUGGCGAAGGCAGGUCACUGGGCCGCAACUGACGCUGAGGAGCGAAAGCAUGGGGAGCGAACAGGAUUAGAUACCCUGGUAGUCCAUGCCGUAAACGUUGGGCACUAGGUGUGGGGCUCAUUCCACGAGUUCCGUGCCGCAGCAAACGCAUUAAGUGCCCCGCCUGGGGAGUACGGCCGCAAGGCUAAAACUCAAAGAAAUUGACGG
RNAcentral lists this ribosomal RNA (850 nucleotides) under Cellulomonas sp. 1152G42. RNAcentral describes it as "bacterial SSU rRNA". It matches the Rfam family "Bacterial small subunit ribosomal RNA", at positions 56 to 916 of the family's 1533-position model. The record is from RNAcentral. Lineage: Bacteria; Bacillati; Actinomycetota; Actinomycetes; Micrococcales; Cellulomonadaceae.